This 411-nucleotide ribosomal RNA is filed under the name uncultured bacterium. Its description in RNAcentral is "bacterial SSU rRNA". It matches the Rfam family "Bacterial small subunit ribosomal RNA", at positions 340 to 766 of the family's 1533-position model. The record is from RNAcentral.
UCGGGGAGGCAGCAGUGGGGUAAUCUUGCACAAUGGGAGGAAACUCUGAUGCAGCGAUGCCGCGUGAGUGAAGAAGGCCCUUGGGUUGUAAAGCUCUUUCGUCGGGGAAGAAAAUGACUGUACCCGAAUAAGAAGGUCCGGCUAACUUCGUGCCAGCAGCCGCGGUAAUACGAAGGGACCUAGCGUAGUUCGGAAUUACUGGGCUUAAAGAGUUCGUAGGUGGUUGAAAAAGUUGGUGGUGAAAUCCCAGAGCUUAACUCUGGAACUGCCAUUAAAACUUUUCAGCUAGAGUAUGAUAGAGGAAAGCAGAAUUUCUAGUGUAGAGGUGAAAUUCGUAGAUAUUANAAAGAAUACCAAUUGCGAAGGCAGCUUUCUGGAUCAUUACUGACACUGAGGAACGAAAGCAUGGGU